This 442-nucleotide ribosomal RNA is filed under the name uncultured bacterium. RNAcentral's name for it is "partial 16S ribosomal RNA". It matches the Rfam family "Bacterial small subunit ribosomal RNA", at positions 338 to 795 of the family's 1533-position model. The record is from RNAcentral.
CCUACGGGAGGCAGCAGUGGGGAAUAUUGGGCAAUGGACGCAAGUCUGACCCAGCAACGCCGCGUGAAGGAAGAAGGCUUUCGGGUUGUAAACUUCUUUUAAGGGGGAAGAGGAGAAGACGGUACCCCUUUAAUAAACCACGGCUAACUACGUGCCAGCAGCCGCGGUAAUACGUAGGUGGCACGCGUUGUUCGGAUUUACUGGGGGUAAAGGGCGUGCAGCCGGAGAGACAAGUCAGAUGUGAAAUCCACGGGCUCAACCCGUGAACUGCAUUUGAAACUGUUUCCCUUGAGUGUCGGAGAGGUAAUCGGAAUUCCGUGUGUAGCGGUGAAAUGCGUAGAUAUAAGGAAGAACACCAGUGGCGAAGGCGGAUUACUGGACGAUAACUGACGGUGAGGCGCGAAAGCGUGGGGAGCAAACAGGAUUAGAUACCCGAGUAGUC